GUGCAUGAGACACUGCUGUUGUUUGGACCAAGCAUUCUGCACGUGAGUGGCUCUGCACCCCUGUCUGGGAGGCUGCCAGGGACUGCGCGCUUGGAGGAGUGGAUGUUACCUUUGCAUCAAAUGCCCUUCCAUGACAACCAAACAUUUCUACUGAUAUAAAUGGGCUGCUUUAAAUGCGUUUAGAAGUUGAUGUGGCCACAACGUAGUCAGUGGAGGAAAGAGUUUUUUGCAGUUAUGUUGUCACAGUGAGCUGGAACAUGCAUAGGGCAAUGAGGGCUGUGCAGGUGCCCUUGAGUGAACAGAAGUGUGACAAGGACGUACCUUGAGUGACAAACAUUGAUCUCUGAUGGCAGGACGGACUAUUCUAUGUUUCUAAUUAAUGACUUUCCUCUUCUUACAAGUUUUGAAAAGUAUGUAUUUCCUGAACUGAUUUUUUUACAAUUGUGUUUAAAUUUGUGAACAGUGACUCCAUUAUUGAAAAAUUAUAGCUAUGCUCAUCAUCUGUAAGGCUGUUUAACUAGAAAAGCAUGCUGCAUCAGGUAGAGAUGAAUGCUGUGAUUACUUUCAUAAGAUAAUGGAGCCCUGAGUUUUUCGAGCUGUGUUUGUACAUUAACCUGAAAUGAACUUUCUUGCUCAGUGGUUUCAUUUGUAUCAUCAUUUUCAGUCACUAAACCAUAAAAAAACCACAUACUCCAAUUCCCUGAUCAGUUUUAAGCACUUCCUGAAUUAGCAAAAGAUUUCAUGACUGCUGCUCAACUGAGUAAUAUCUGCCUUCAUUUAAAGUAUUGGCAUGUUUUAUGUAUUAACUAUAAGGACCUGAGUCAAUUGUGAUGCUUUUUGAUAUAUUUUCAGGUUUUUCUUCCAUGACUGUUUUGCUUUUCUCUGUUGUCUGCACGGUCACUCUCAGCCCUGGCAAAUUGCUGUUCCUCUUAAGUCUUGAUCAACACAUAGCUAUACCAACAUGAGAAGAAUGGGAGGUGGUAGGGUUACAAUUUCUUUUCCAGUAGAGCUACAUGGUGCAAUUCCUCACACACACCAUUUAUGGACAGACUAACUGCUACAGCUUAUUCUGCUGUGAGGGGAUAAACUAUUACAAGGUGAGCACCUUUUAAAUCAUGCACCAGGGAUAGCACAAGCUAUUCAUACUCUUCUGACUUCUGCAGAAUAAAAUUGUCUAAUUUUGGUGUGUAAACACAUUCUCCUAAGCCAAAAGCUUAAAACCUGAUCCCUUGGGUCACUGUGUUUCUCUACUGCUUUCCUUCACCCCUAUUUCAGGCCACGUAUACAAAGUAUGUAGAUCACAGCAUGCCGCGUAUCGGGUGUCUCUGACAGCUGGCGACACAUUUGCAGUACAUGCAUAGCACCAAUAUUUCCAAAUGCAAGAGGGAGCACAAAGAUUUCAAAGGUUUCAUAACGUUUGCUCACAAAUUGUGCUUUUUCCCCAGGUGGUUUUCUGUGUGUUUUAAAGUUUGAAAAAAAUAUUCCUUGUUUUCAAACUGAACACAAGAUACUGCACUGACCACAUACCAGUGCUUUCUGAAGUCCUGAAGGGCACUCUGGGAACAACAACAGUUUUUGUUCCCAACAGCUAUACAUAUAUAUAUAUACAUGUGUGUGUAUAUAUAUAUAUAUAGUUUUUAUUUUAAUAUUAUAUAUAAUUUGUUGUGCUAUUAUGCAGAUUUGGGUGGGUUUUGUGGUUUUUUGGUUGGUUGGUGGAUUGGGGUUUUUUUUGUUUUGUUCAGAAGAGGUAGCUAGAGCCAAAGCAAGUAAACCUGACAUGAUAAAAUCUGGAAACCAUAUAGCUAAGGUACUUCCAGUUCCUUUUAUUGAAAACAGUGCCUGUGCUUCCUUAUAUUUCACUAUUGUGUAGUAACAUAUUUCAUAAUAUUGCAAGUUAUUUUUCAAUGUUUUCAACUAUUGUUUAGUGUACCUUUUUAAAGUGACAUCAUUUCAGCUAUUUAUAUGAUGUUUUCUCUGAUGGCAGUAAAUGGAAAUCUCAGCUGAGUUUCUGUCUUCAAUAUGCUAAUUUCUACACAGUCUACUAGUAGACUGCACCUCCAGAAUAAACUUCAGUGGUGGCAGACACAUUGUCUUCAUCACUGGGUAGCAGAUCACUGUAAUAAACUGCUUUAUACAUAAACUCAUUUAUACAUAUAUUGAUCUGAAGAGAAAAGAACAACCAAAUAAACCUGGCUGGA
This is a long non-coding RNA of Corapipo altera (White-ruffed manakin), 2198 nucleotides long. RefSeq lists it as uncharacterized. NCBI's taxonomy places the organism in Eukaryota, Metazoa, Chordata, Aves, Passeriformes, Pipridae. The transcript has 2 exons. The record is from RefSeq and is a predicted model, not a curated record.